AUAUAGAUUAGAUAUUCUACUUUUCAUGGAACUCAAAUUUUGUAUCACAUACAACAAAUCCUACGGUUUCAUCAUCUAGGAUUUUGCAGAAAAGUAAGUUCUUCCUUUCACUUUCUCCUUCAUGAGAUUAAAUCACAUGGCACCCCUACACGCCAUAAGAGCAUCCUAUUGAAUAGAAAAAGAGAAUUUUUAAAUCUUUAUUGCUCC
RNAcentral lists this long non-coding RNA (207 nucleotides) under Elaeis guineensis (African oil palm). RNAcentral's name for it is "long non-coding RNA (EGUI_LNC014377)". Lineage: Eukaryota; Viridiplantae; Streptophyta; Magnoliopsida; Arecales; Arecaceae. The record is from RNAcentral.